This is an RNA transcript of Poecilia latipinna (sailfin molly), 4548 nucleotides long. RefSeq lists it as uncharacterized. Lineage: Eukaryota; Metazoa; Chordata; Actinopteri; Cyprinodontiformes; Poeciliidae. The transcript is spliced from 3 exons. The record is from RefSeq and is a predicted model, not a curated record.
UAAAGCAGGCCCUUUACUGGUACAACAACAUGGUGAUAAAAUGAGACCGGUCGCAUAUUACUCCUCUAAACUAGAUAGUGUGGCGUGUGCGUUGCCUCACUGUGUGAGGGCUGUUAUUGCUGCUUCCAUGGCUGUCGAAGUUAGCACUUCUAUUGUACUAUUCCAUCCAUUAAUGCUAAAAGUACCACGCGCGGUAUCAGCACUAUUGUUACAGACAAAUAUGACCUUUUUAUCACCUGCAAGACACCUCUUGUGUAUGUCCACCCUGUUGUCUCAGCCUCAUCUGACCAUUGAGAGGUGCACAGUGUUAAAUCCUGCAACACUGUUACCUGUCACAGAUGAUGGCACAAAACAUGACUGUCAGGAACUAGCUGAACAAACAGCUAGAAGUAGAAGUGAUCUAAAAGAUUUACCAUUAGAGAAAGGUGAAAUACUUUUUGUAGAUGGUUCCUCAAAGAAAGACGAACUAGGAAAAACUCAAACUGGGUAUGCAGUGGUAACUGAUAAGACUGUGCUGAAAGCUGAAAAGCUCCCCUCACAUUACUCGGCACAAGCAGCAGAAUUAAUCGCACUUACCACAGCUUGUAAACUUAUGAAGGAUAAAACAGUAACGAUUUAUACUGACAGUCAGUAUGCCUUUGCAACUGUUCAUACCUUUGCACAAUAUUGGAAACAUAGAGGUAUGGUAACAUCAACAGGAAAGCCAGUGACACAUGCAGAAUUGUUAAAAGAAUUACUUGAAGCUGUACAACUCCCUAAACAACUAGCAAUCUGCAAAUGUGCGGCACACACUGCGGGGACAGACAAAGUGUCCCUGGGGAAUGCGUUCGCUGAUAAGAUGGCAAAACAAGCAGCGGCAGGAAAAGUAACAGUGUUGCACCUAGAAGAAAACUCAAUCUUAUGAUCAAAAGUUUUACGUGAAAUGCAACAGGCAAGUCCACAAAAUGAAAAAGACUUAUGGAUAAAGAAAGGAGCAACAAUAAUUGAUGAUAUCUAUAAAAGCUCUGAAAAUAAACCUAUUUUACCAAAAAAUCUAUAUAAAUGGGCUGCAAUAUCGAGCCAUGGUGUGUCGCAUGUCUCGACAGGGGGAAUGGUCGGACAAGUACAUCAACAUUAUACUACUUAUGGAUUUAUUUCUUAUUCGAAAACUUUUUGUAGAACUUGUUUAAUCUGCGCAAAACACAAUUCUCAAGGUAAUCUAAGACCGCGUAGAGGAAAAUUUCCAAACCCACAAUACCCAUUCCAAGUUAUGCACAUGGACUUUAUAGAAUUAAAUAAAAGUGAAGGGAAAAUGUAUUGCUUGGUGAUAAUUGAUGCCUUCUCUAAGUGGAUUUAACUUUUUCCAACCAAAAGCCCGGAUGCCUCAACGGUAGCAAAAGCGCUCUGCAAAGACUUAAUUCCUAGAUAUGGGAUUCCUGAGAAAAUAUAUAGUGAUAAUGGCACUCAUUUUGUAAAUCAAAUUAUAAAGAAAAUCGGAAUUAUGUUUCACAUAGAUCUAAAAAAAAUCACUGUGGCUACCAUCCUCAGAGUGCUGGGUUAGUGGAGAGGAUGAACGCUACAAUUAAAAACAGACUAAAAAAAUGUAUUGAAGAAACCAGUAGGCCCUGGACACAAUGUUUAGAUUUGGUAAAAUUAUACAUUAACAUUACAAGUACAUCAGGGCUUACACCUUUUGAAACAUUGUUUGGAAGGCCGUACAGACUGCCGCAUUUUAAAAAUCAAUGGGAAAUGGAUGAGGAAGCUAAUUUAGCUGAUUAUAUGAGAACCAUGUUAGAAAAACAGAGACAAAAAGAAACUGAGAAUCCUCCUUCUGUGUCCCAGCAGGAAGAUCUAUUAGUGGAGCCUGGAGAUUGGGUGCUGAUAAGGAGCAUAAAGAAGAAACACUGGUAUUCUCCAAAGUGGGACGGACCAUACCAGGUGCUGCUGACUACUCCCACAGCUGUAAAAAUAGCAGAAAGGUCAACUUGGGUUCACCUGUCACAUUGCAAAAAGGUAAUUUCAGCUCAAAAGUAAAAAAAAAAAAAAAAAAAAGGAGAGAAUAAGUUCCGGAGGCUCAUUGACCUACAGGGCAAAAAGGCCAGCGUACAAAGGGGGCCAAACCGAAUAGUUUGACCGUCUCAAAACUGGUGAAGAUUGUCCACAACCCUGGAGCAUCCUUAGGAGCCGAACGAACUUACAAAUUACUGAAAUGACGAACAAAAGUGUUAUUUUUAUUUUUAUUUUAUGUUCCUAUCUGAGACAAACGCAUGGCGUUACUGAUCACAAAUAUCCUUGCAACACUGCUAAUGGAAUGAGAGUAGGUAUCCAGGUAUGCUUCUCACCAAAUUCAGUGGUCGUGGUUUCAAUCUCCUGGGCAAGCAUACCAUCAGCAGAUUACAGGGAUUACACUUGGUAUAUGACAAAUGACGUUCUUAACACUAACUGGGACACUCUAGUGGCAGACGAAGAAAAUAAAUGGACAAAAGACUGGGGUACUACUGAGUACGCGCAGCACCAAAAACGAAUAUUUAGUAUUUCACAUACAGAUGAUGGGAUACAGAUAGGCAUAAACACAACCACAUAUUCCCUUAUUCCACCUACGAUAAAGAAGAAAGACUCUGACGCAACAUGCUGGGGAUUUUACUUGUGGGCUUAUACAUCAGGACCUGAUCCAAAAUUUUUAGUAAAUCUCUGUGAAGAGACUAAAGAAGGUGGAGGAAGCACUACUUCUCCAUGGACAAAAGGGGUAAAAGUUAAGGAAGUAGAAACAGUCGACGACUGGUUCAAAGUAAGCACAGGUGUGUCAGGACUAAGUAAUAACUGGUUAUUACUGGUAGAACAGGCUGCUAAAACAGCGAAGCAAGAUUGUGUGGCGUGUAUGGAACCAAGGCCUUUACUGCGUAUAACACCAGCAACUAUUACCAAACAAUGUCUACUAGAAGUGAUGAGUAAAACUAAUCCUAAUAGCACGUGUAGGAUUUAUGAUUCAAUAUUUCCUCUUGCAGCAGUUGAUGGAACAAAACCUGUCUUCUCUAAAAGAGUAGCUCCGGGUAAUUUCACAUGCAUCAACAUAACAGGGAGCGGGAAAAAAUUAGGGAAUCCUGCUGGCAUAACGUGCACUGACGUUCUCUCUGUAAAAAAUGACUUUAACCCUGUUUCUCGUGCAGAUGUCUGGUGGUGGUGUGGCGAUGACAAACUUUUUGAUAGGUUACCCCGGAAGGUGACAGGUCUUUGUGCUCUAGUUUCUUUGUUGUUACCUGUUUCUGUUUAUCCUAUUUCUGCAACACAACUAAUCGAUGUUCUGUCUCAGCAGCAGCAUCACUUGCAGAAACGAGAGCUGAAGUGGGGAACUGAUGUCACAACAUACAUCGAUGCCAUCGGAGUCCCUCGUGGUGUGCCUGAUGAGUACCAAAUUGCAGCAGGGUUUGAAUCUACAAUUCGUUGGUGGUAUACUAUAAACAAAAACGUAGACAGGAUCAACUACAUUCACUACAAUGUGCAGAGACUAGGCAACUGGACACAGACCGGGUUUGAGGCGGUUCAUGAGCAGUUGUCUGCUACUUCACUGAUGGCUUUCCAAAACCGUAUCGCUCUUGACAUGGUGCUAGCUGAAAAAGGGGGGGUGUGCAUUAUCUUUGGAGAAAGAUGUUGUACAUAUCUGCCAAAUAACACAGCUGCCGAUGGGAGCUUGACGAAGGCCAUUACGGGGCUCCGGACCCUGAAUGGCAAAAUGAAGGAAGCCUCUGGAAUAAACACUUCCAUGUGGGAUCCAUGGUUGGAUGUGUUUGGCAGGUACCGAACCCUUGUGUCCUCUGCUUUAGUGUCGAUGGCAGUCUUUGCUGCCAUUUUAACCUUGUGUGGGUGCUGUUGUAUUCCUUGUCUGCGUUCUUUGUUUAACCGUCUCAUCACCACAGCAAUCUCACCCAUGGAGGACCAGAUGGCACAGAUGUAUCCUUUGUUGCUCAAAGAUGCUGAAGCUGACACAGAAUCCUCAGAGAAGGUGCUCCCUGACUCGUAUUUGGACUUAGCUUCUUGGUCUGAGUACAACCCUUGAGUGUAAAAAUAUUUGCGUUCCUAAAAAUGAACUCCCAGCUGAAAAUCGUUUGAAGUGGCUGCUUUAGGAGGGAUGUGAGAUUUGGAACAAAUAUUUGAUAAACAGGGGGGAAUGUUGGGUAAAUUGUAUUAUUAUCAACUACUUGUUAUACUUUUAUUAUGUUCUUACCUUAUGUACUCUUAUUUGUUUAAGUCAUGUCUUUUAAGAAAUGCUUCUGUAUUGUUAACCAUUCUGAUUUCCUUUCUCAGAGGGCUUCUCUGAUGAAGAGCAGUGAGAGCAGCUCUUCACAGAACGCCAUACUUCUGACCUCUCAGAUAGCUGUAAAUUCAUCGGUGUGAAGAUGUACAACUUGCUCUGUUUGACCCUGUGUCAGGGACUGGAGAAUCUAGAUUAAGACAGAUUGUGUUGUUAGUUAGUGAUAACCAUUGGCGCUGUAACUGUGUGAAGUGUUUUUCUUCCCCUCCCUUUAGAGUUACAGCGCUCUCUGUGAUUAGGGAUCCUAAAGACAAUAAAAA